RNAcentral lists this ribosomal RNA (260 nucleotides) under uncultured bacterium. RNAcentral describes it as "partial 16S ribosomal RNA". It matches the Rfam family "Bacterial small subunit ribosomal RNA", at positions 524 to 776 of the family's 1533-position model. The record is from RNAcentral.
GACAGGAGGUGACAACGUUGUUCGGAUUUACGUGGGCGUAAAGCGUGUGUAGGCGGCUUUGCAAGUCGGAUGGUGAAUACCCACGGGCUUAAGCUUCAUGGGUCUGGCAUUCGAUACGGGCUGGCUAGGGUCCUUCAGGGGAGACUGGAAUUCCUGGUGUAGCGGUGAAAUGCGCAGAUAUCAGGAGGAACACCGGUGGCGAAGGCGGGUCUCUGGACAGUUCCUGACACUGAGGCACGAAGGCCAGGGGAGCAAACGGG